UACGGGAGGCAGCAGUGGGGAAUAUUGCACAAUGGGCGAAAGCCUGAUGCAGCUAUGCCGCGUGUAUGAAGAAGGCCUUAGGGUUGUAAAGUACUUUCAUCGGGGAGGAAAAACAAAACUAAUAAUUUUAUUUCUUGACGUUACCCGAAAAAGAAGCACCGGCUAACUCCGUGCCAGCAGCCGCGGUAAUACGGAGGGUGCUAGCGUUAAUCAGAAUUACUGGGCGUAAAGAGCACGUAGGUGGUUUUUUUAAGUCAGAUGUGAAAUCCCUGGGCUUAACCUAGGAACUGCAUUUUGAAACUGAAAUACUAGAGUAUCGUAGAGGGAGGUAGAAUUCUAGGUGUAGCGGUGAAAUGCGUAGAUAUCUGGAGGAAUACCUGUGGCGAAAGCGGCCUCCUAAACGAAUACUGACACUGAGGUGCAAAAGCGUGGGGAGCAAACAGGGAUUAGAUACC
This 455-nucleotide ribosomal RNA is filed under the name uncultured bacterium. RNAcentral's name for it is "bacterial SSU rRNA". It matches the Rfam family "Bacterial small subunit ribosomal RNA", at positions 340 to 786 of the family's 1533-position model. The record is from RNAcentral.